Molecule: microRNA precursor, 85 nt
Organism: Trichomalopsis sarcophagae
Lineage: Eukaryota; Metazoa; Arthropoda; Insecta; Hymenoptera; Pteromalidae
Rfam family: mir-2765 microRNA precursor family
Source: Rfam
AACGUGUCAAAGUCUGGUAACUCCACCACCGUUGGCGGAAUAUUAAAAAGCCAAUGGGGUACGAGUUUCCUACCAUUGACGCGUU